This is a long non-coding RNA of Daphnia carinata, 941 nucleotides long. RefSeq lists it as uncharacterized. The record is from RefSeq and is a predicted model, not a curated record. Lineage: Eukaryota; Metazoa; Arthropoda; Branchiopoda; Diplostraca; Daphniidae. The transcript is spliced from 3 exons.
CGAUGAAGUCUGCUUGGUUUUUGUUUCAAACGUGUCGUGUGGGAAAAAUGAAAGAAAAUUCAUCACCACGGCUUACAUCUUUCAAGCCCAAUUAUCAGCACGCGUGGGUAGCUGUGCCCUCAGCACAAAUGUAAAUGAAAAUUUUGAAUCAUUCCUCCCUGAGCUGAAACUACACCCCACUUCAAGUAACGAGAAUUCAAAUGCAACAGCAGCAGCAGCAGCAGCAAGAAUAUGGCGCAUAGGCUGGAGCUUUAUGCACACGCUUUGAAAGUAGCUGUAGAAAGUGAUAUAUAUUCGGCCGUUUCGGUUUGGCACAUCACCAUGCUGUCAUGGUCGACACCAAGACUUUCACGUCGGCCGGCUAUGACGAAGUGCGCCAGGCGAUCGUACAACUCCGAUUGCAAUAGGCCAUAUUUGGUUGACAACGACGAAUGGUUGUCGGACUGGGCACGUUUCGAUUUGCCAAGAUAGACAUUUCGGAGCUUCCACGCCAAGAAGUCAUUCUAAUUUUUCAGACCGUAUACCCAAACGGUCCUUCAUCGUUUAUUGUUAUUUAUAUUUCACAUUCUUCUUAUAAACAAGACAAAAGAUAACAAAUGUAUUUUUUUCCCUAUCUCUCCCAUAGAUAAAGAGAAAAAAAAAAAAAAAGAGUUCGCAUUUUGCUCCAUCACGCCCUAGUCAAGUAUAAAAGACGAGUUGAUUGAGGCAUGGGCCGAAGCGGACGUCGUCGCACGUAAAUCGGUCCUUCUCCAACAUGACCCGAGGUAAGAAAGUGGUACGUAUAUUAUGUAUAACCAAGACAACUCGCUACAAAAAAAAAAUGUGGAAUGGAAUAUGUACAAAAUAUUUUUUAAAAAAAAGCAGGACUUUAGCAGCGCCAGCAGGAAGUAGUUGUGUCGGAGGCGUCGAAGGUUUCUUUCUCUCAGGGUCUGAUGAUCACC